This 466-nucleotide ribosomal RNA is filed under the name uncultured bacterium. Its description in RNAcentral is "bacterial SSU rRNA". It matches the Rfam family "Bacterial small subunit ribosomal RNA", at positions 328 to 792 of the family's 1533-position model. The record is from RNAcentral.
GGUCCAGACUCCUACGGGAGGCAGCAGUGAGGAAUAUUGGUCAAUGGGCGGGAGCCUGAACCAGCCAAGCCGCGUGAGGGAUGAAGGUACAGAGUCUCGUAAACCUCUUUUGUCAGGGAACAAAGGCGGGGACGUGUCCCCGGAUGAGUGUACCUGAAGAAAAAGCAUCGGCUAACUCCGUGCCAGCAGCCGCGGUAAUACGGAGGAUGCGAGCGUUAUCCGGAUUUAUUGGGUUUAAAGGGUGCGCAGGCGGAUUUUUAAGUCAGCGGUCAAAUCGUGGGGCUCAACCCCAUCCAGCCGUUGAAACUGGCGUUCUUGAGUGAGCGAGAAGUAUGCGGAAUUCGUGGUGUAGCGGUGAAAUGCAUAGAUAUCACGAAGAACCCCGAUUGCGAAGGCAGCAUACCGGCUCCACACUGACGCUGAGGCACGAAAGCGUGGGUAUCGAACAGGAUUAGAUACCCCGGUA